CUGUUUUUUAUUAUUUUUUUUAUAAAAUAAAUACAAGAUAAUUCCUUCAUUUUUCUUUUCGGUCAAUACCACUCCCUUCCUCACGUUUCUUACCUUCCCACUACCAUUCAAAUUCUCCCUUUUUGCUAUCACUGCUACUUGUUUUCAUUCUUUUGUUUUCUUUACUUUUCAAUUGGCUUUUGGGUUGGUCUUGUUCUUGCGGCAUCUGUCAAGAUUAUUCUUUCUUUCUCUUGUUCUUUUCUUUUCUAUUUUGUUAAUUGAUUCUCCUUGUGAUGAAAUUUUUUUUAUUGUGGAAUCUUUCGUUUUAGGAAAAGAGCAUGUGGUGAUAGACGAUCCUCCAGCAAAUUAAGUUCUUAGAGGAGUUGCUAUAAGUUGCAGCAAGUGCUCGUUAUUGAUUUAGGGACUACUUUCUUGUGAAAAGAGUGAAUUUAAGUGGAAAUUUUUGUGCUAAAUCAAAGUUGUAAACGUUUAGUUUUGAUUCCGUUUGUAGGGUUCUAGGUGUUCGGUUGUGUGGAGGAUCAAUCUCGCUAUUAGGUAAACCUCCGACCUAGGAAUGGACGGUGACUCGGGAACUAGGGUUUCAUAAAUUCUUCAAUUAAGCACUACGAACUUUUUCAUUUGUUUUGAUCAUGGACAUUUCUGGACUGUUUUGGGUUUUUAUUUUUGGUUGGACAUUUUAAUUUUUGUUUUUGUUUAGUUCGUUAGGACAAUUUUUUAUACUCACUACGCGAAGGUUUUAUGAUUUAAGGAUGCUUAACCUAAGACAAUUAAAAUGAAUCACUUUUUUAUAUACAAAGAACUAUAAGGUAUUUCGCUGCAAGGUUAAUCAAAUUGUUCAAAAUGUUUUAGCACGCAAGUAUUUUCAAGUGAAUUGGUUUUGUUUUUAGAUACAAAAUUAAACCGUGGUUUCGAAAAGUCGCAGUGUUUUCCAAAAGAGUAAUUCAAUUGAAUUUUCCUUCCAUUGAAGUGGUUUUCAUCAGAUCAAACAUUUGUCUCUUUUUGCAUAAGCGUUACAACCUCUAGAAUCUGAUCAUAACGUGUACGCCGAGUGUGGGGUGUUACAGACAAUGCAAGUGGUGGCCUUGAUUUCAAUGGCAUUAGAGGGUGCUGGUGCUGGUGCUGCACUAUCAUUACCAGAUUUAGGGCUAUCACUAUCAGCAACAUCACCUGUGUUUUUAGGGCUAGGAGAAGGGAGUCAAAAACUUCAUCAGUGGCAGUUUGUGAAGGAGGGGAUGAGACCUCCUCAAGAGACUCAACCUCAAAAGCGUAUCCUUUGUUGGCGCUAGGGUUGUCGCUUUUACUAGGGCUAGGGGAAGAGGAGCUUGAAGUAGAUGGCGACUUCGAAGGUGAAGAUGCCUUGGAAGGGACUGGUGAAGGUGACGAUUCGACAGCAAAUGCCCCAACAAGAACCAUGGAAACAAAUGCAACAACAAAAAUAAGAUAUUGGCAUUCCAUCUUUCACUUUUGCUUUUUAAUAGUUUCUUUUUACUUGUUAUCUUUUUUUAUUAAAAGAUUGAUAUAUAUAUAUACACAAUAUGCGUGUGUAAGAGAAGUGCUUUUCUUAUGCACUAAAAUUUAACCUUUAACAUCUUAUAAUACUAUAUUAAGAUUUUGUUCUA
Molecule: long non-coding RNA, 1619 nt
Organism: Gossypium raimondii (Peruvian cotton)
Lineage: Eukaryota; Viridiplantae; Streptophyta; Magnoliopsida; Malvales; Malvaceae
Exons: 2
Source: RefSeq, a predicted model, not a curated record